This 372-nucleotide ribosomal RNA is filed under the name uncultured organism. RNAcentral describes it as "partial 16S ribosomal RNA". It matches the Rfam family "Bacterial small subunit ribosomal RNA", at positions 527 to 896 of the family's 1533-position model. The record is from RNAcentral.
GUAGGUGGCAAGCGUUGUCCGGAAUUAUUGGGCGUAAAGCGCGCGCAGGCGGUUCGUUUAAGUCUGAUGUGAAAGCCCACGGGCUCAACCGUGGAGGGUCAUUGGAAACUGGAGAACUUGAGUACAGAAGAGGAAAGCGGAAUUCCACGUGUAGCGGUGAAAUGCGUAGAGAUGUGGAGGAACACCAGUGGCGAAGGCGGCUUUCUGGUCUGUAACUGACGCUGAGGCGCGAAAGCGUGGGGAGCAAACAGGAUUAGAUACCCUGGUAGUCCACGCCGUAAACGAUGAGUGCUAAGUGUUAGGGGGUUUCCGCCCCUUAGUGCUGCAGCUACGCAUUAAGCACUCCGCCUGGGGAGUACGGCCGCAAGGCUG